GCCUCAGUGGUGUAGUGGUAGAGCACGCGUCCCCGCUGUGGAUAAAAGACGGGUUUGAUUCCCGUCUGAGGCC
Molecule: non-coding RNA, 73 nt
Organism: Parelaphostrongylus tenuis
Lineage: Eukaryota; Metazoa; Nematoda; Chromadorea; Rhabditida; Metastrongylidae
Source: the annotation of a GenBank genome assembly